CAUAAUUAUCAAGAAUCUCAUAGAUGGGAUAGCAACCUGCAAAAACAAGCAAGGUGCUAAAAUAGAUAAGCCGGCUCAGCUCCGGAAAAAAUGUUUUUCUA
RNAcentral lists this non-coding RNA (101 nucleotides) under Chryseobacterium sp. RNAcentral's name for it is "SAM-I-IV sequence". It matches the Rfam family "SAM-I/IV (S-adenosyl methionine) riboswitch aptamer". From Rfam's summary of the family: It is found upstream of a number of genes which code for proteins involved in methionine or cysteine biosynthesis. The record is from RNAcentral. Lineage: Bacteria; Pseudomonadati; Bacteroidota; Flavobacteriia; Flavobacteriales; Weeksellaceae.